This is a long non-coding RNA of Carassius gibelio (silver crucian carp), 1183 nucleotides long. RefSeq lists it as uncharacterized. NCBI's taxonomy places the organism in Eukaryota, Metazoa, Chordata, Actinopteri, Cypriniformes, Cyprinidae. The record is from RefSeq and is a predicted model, not a curated record. The transcript has 3 exons.
CGCUGUCUUGGGGAUCUUACAUUACUUACCUUGCAGUUUAUUCCACUUUCAUGCAGGUCGGCAUUGACCCUGGACAUUUUUCUUCUGGUGUUUUUUAGAGACAACAAACAGGUCAGUUUACUCUCAUUGGUUUCUUUAAGCCUGACCUUUCUUGCCUGCAGCCUUUUUAUUGCCUUCAGUAGUUUUUCACAGGUGCAUGAGCCAUAAUUGCGUGUACUUCGUUGAACAAGCAUGGAAAAGCGUGGUCUAGAGUGCUUCCACUAGUUCCCUGUAAAACACUGAUAAGUUGCCCACUUCUAAAGUAGCAAGAUACACUGCUUUGCUUUUGCUGGGAAUCGAACCUGGGUCCCCUGCGCGGGAAACAACAACUCUGCCACUCAACCACCAGUGAGUGAAGCUGCGCUGUGCUCAUGGCUCUGGGGACAGCUGCCGCUUAUGAAGAACAACUAACAUGGCGUUAAAAGGCGACCUCUGCUGCAUUGGCCGGGAAUCGGACCCGGGUCUCCCGCGCCGCGGCCUUGAAUUGUUUAGCUAAACGGCCCUAAACCGUUUCCCAUUCAUUCUCAAUGGUAGUGCUAAACCACUACGGAUGUAAUAUACUUUCGGCCGCUAGCGCUCUCGUGGCGCUCUUCCGGUUUUCGGCACCGCGGGAAGUUUGAAUUCGCAGAAGAAGGAGAAGAAGAAAACACACAACAGCGAUCGCCUCCGUUGUUAAAUUCAACGCAUUCUCAAGCGUCUAUCAAAGAGAGCACUGCUUCUUCACUGAUUGUGUCUUUGCUGUCAUCUUUUCCUGGGACCCGAGCAGAUCUUCAGUCAGAGACAGGAGCUACAUGUAUGUCACCUCUGCAUGUGCUGGCCGUACCUGACCUGUGAAGACUGCUGACAGGGUGUUUGUACUGGACAGCGAACGCUGAGCCUAUCGACAACGUGCUUAAUAAACACCACAGGAAGACAUCCUAACAGCACGCUCCAUAUGACCACAAAACUACACGUCACAUUAUGUCAAGCACCUGACCACACUGCUGAACACCAGUUCUUCAUUAAACACGACUGCAGAGAAGUAAACACCAGGAUGUCAUUCCAAGACUUUAUGGAAAUGGAGCACUUUAGACUGAACUGAAGGACACAAAGAAACGGGACUGCAAAAACACGAAAGGCCUGGAGAUGAACACGUUGUUCACUU